Mercenaria mercenaria is the source of this 9073-nucleotide long non-coding RNA. RefSeq lists it as uncharacterized. The record is from RefSeq and is a predicted model, not a curated record. NCBI's taxonomy places the organism in Eukaryota, Metazoa, Mollusca, Bivalvia, Venerida, Veneridae. The transcript is spliced from 2 exons.
GUCAUCGAUGGAUGGAUUUUCAAAUAACUUGGCAUGAAUGUGUACCACAGUAAGACGACGUGUCGCGCGCAAGACCCAGGUCCGUAGCUCAAAGGUCAAGGUCACACUUAGACGUUAAAGGUCAUUUUUCAUGAUAGUGCAUUGAUGGGCGUGUCCGGUCCAUAUCUUUGUCAUUCAUGCAUGGAUUUUAAAAUAACUACGCAUGAAUGUGUGGCACAGUAAGACGACGUGUCGCGCGCAAGACCCAGCUCCGUAGGUCAAAGGUCCUAAACUCUAACAUCGGCCAUAACUACUCAUUCAAAGUGCCAUCGGGGGCAUAUGUCAUCCUAUGGAGACAGCUCUUGUUUUUUUAAAUGUUCAAUCCUUCAACAUGUUAAGUUGUGACUGCACAAACCUGCCCUCAGCCAUGUUCAAGAUAUCUUACCUGUGUUCUCUUAAGGACAUCUGUUCUUUUAAGUUCAAAUGUACAUGUUAAACAGCAACACCUGGUGCCAAACCACUCAAAGACAAUAUUUCGUUAAAGUUUAACUUCAAGCUCACAUUUCAGUUAACUGCAUUUAAUUUUAAAAGCUAAGCUUAUAACAGUAAGCAUAUCCCAUUCAAAAUAAAUUCUUUAGUCAGGAUCAAAGUAUCAUACAUUUAUUAUGUACUCUUUAAUUAAACAUUUGUUUUUUGUUAAAUUGAUUUUGACUAAUGAAAUUAUUUGCUUCUUAUUAACAUCCUUAACUUUUUGCAGGAUAUAUUGUUUUGCCAUUCCUCACCACAAACCCUUUUGGCGGGGGAUACCAAUUCAUCGAAUUUGCUUGUUUAAAAAAAAAGCCCAUUUUUUCUUCUAUACUGGUUGGUAAGAUAACCUUGACCCUAAAUUGCAGUUUUUUUUGGCAAUGUAUUUUUCAUCUGUGAAAAUAUUUUAUGCCUUUGCACAUCAAAACAAACUGAAGCUCAUCACUUUCCUGGUGACACCUUAGAAAAAGGGAAUAGUCUAUUAAGAGGCCCAGAAAGGGUAGAUAAAAUUUGCACCUGAGUUAUUUUCAUCACAAAUGUUGAAAAUUAUUACUGUUAUCAAAACAUGUUGACAUUGGUUUCAUGUAAGUUUGAACCAUUUAAUUAAUUAAGUAUUUGCUUCUUAGGUAACUUUUGACACUCAGUCUGGUAACUAUGUUACAUGUCAAAACAACAGUAAAUCGUUGGUUAAAUUUCAUAGGUAUCACAUAAAACAUGUCUGUGAUUGUUUUGUACUACGCUGUGUUGGAUGACUGCUUGCCUAAUUGGAAGCACAUAUAUUUUAGAAACCUGUAGUUGCCCUUACAAGACAGUUGUUUGCGUCGGGGAACCAGAAAUGGAAUCUCCCAGUCAUUUUGACAGCAAUUUUUUUGAACAAAAAUUCCUGGUCAGUGAAAAUCAUUUAAUAUGUACUGAUUUCGUCAAGAUUUUCAGUUGUUGUAGAGUUUUGAUAAUUCUGAUUGAUGAUGAACUUGAUUUUAAGAGACAAAAUGUUAAAUCAAUUUGAUAACGAAACAACAAGGUAAUCUAUGUGGCAAAGUUAUCUUGCCUACCGGUAUAGGUAGAGACACAAGUCCAAUAUGGGGGUAAGGGAUAGUAAACUUUGCAAAAACUGAUUGAUACCAGUGCAGAAAAAAUCGUAAAAAAGUUCCAUUUGGAGCAAUGUAAGCAUUUUCUGUCAUUUAUACAAAGAAAUAAGUAUCAGAUUCAAGACACUAAAAUCUUGAGACAAUAAUUGCCCAGAUUGCUGAUGUCAGUAGUUUUGUCCGAUAGUCUGCCCAUCGGUAGACACUUCAGUUUCUUAUAAAUAACUGGACAAUGGUUUUGUCUGCAGUGGUCAAACUAAAUAGGAUGAUUUUAUCUGUGGUCUGUAGACUACCCCUGAUUUUAAUUGGAUCAGUAGGUCAAAGUUGUAGUGACCUUCAGACCAUUAAGUUUUCAGCUCUAUAACUGAAACAUUCUCAGACUGCAGUAAUAUUACUUACAAUGUUUGCCUAUUGUCAGUAGAUGAUUCCAGUCAGUUUCUAGGUCAGUAAGUUAAAGGUCCAGGUCAAACCAUACUGAAAAAAAUUCAUUUCAAUAUUUGGAGAAGCCCCGGGUCGGGCUUGCAGUAGUCAAACUUCAUAGGACUGCCUGAGGACUGUAGAGGAUUCCUAUGAAUUUGGAGGUCAGAAGGUCAAAGUCUGUGUUACAGUGGCCUCCGGACUGAAAAUGGGUCGCUCAAAAAAAACAUAAAAUAUUUGGACUUACAAUGGUCAAAACACACUGGAUAAUUGCCUGUGGGCAAUAGAUUAAUCAUAUUGUUUUGGGGACCAGAGGCUGAAGGUCAAGGUCACAUUGACCUUGUUACUAAAAACAGUAUCUGCUCAGUUACUGGGGCAGGCUUGGGUCUACAGUGGACAAAUUUGAUAGGUUGAUUGCCUGUUGUCAGCAGAUGACCCCUAAAGUUUUGAGAGGAUUGUACAUCAAGGGUCACAGUCAACAAGACUUUGAGACUUCAGACAGUUCCUAAUCAAUAACUGAAGAAUGCUUAGACCUACAGUUGUCUAACAUUCAAAGACCAUUGACUAGGGGCAUAUGUAUUUUACAAACAGUUCUUAACUUAGAAAAAAAAUAAUGGCAGAAACACAGAAUUAAUCUGUUUCACAAAAUAAUGUAGUUCCAUUAAGUUGUAUCCUUUUCUUAUCCUAAUAUUUAUUUUGUUAAAGUGAAAGGUUUGAGUGUCUGUAUGGAUUGAAAAAUUAUUACAAUGUUGGCAAAAGCUUUGAUAUGGCAGCAAUGUAACUGUAUAGUUGUAGCUGUUUUACCAUUUAGAGUAAGGAUAAUGUAUAAUACAAAGUAGUUGAGUGUUAGCAGAGAUAUACCUUGUUCAAGGUGCUUUGGUGUGGGAGUCACUUACACUGAUAUUGUUCAUGAAGAGGAAGUAUUAAAAGCAAUAAAUGUUGCUGUAUUAGCUUUAUUGAUGUUUCAGAAAUGUAAUUGAUAUUGAAUGUUUCACAGAUUGCUGUUUGUUUUAAGACAGAAAAUAAUUGCCAUUGUAGGCAGACACAUCGGAGAAGUUCUUUUAAUUUCAUAUGUCACAAUAAUAACUCUGAUAUUGUCAUUAGACAGCUCUUGUUGUUCACUCAGAAACACUUAGACUCAGCAUGGUGUCAUACAAUACUCCUCUGCCUCAUCCUUUGACAAACUGUAAAAUAAUUUUAUAUUGUAGAUGUAUAAAAUGUCAUGGUAUGGCCCAAAAGGGCUGUUUGAGGCGAUAUAGAUCUGUAAUUUCAAUUUUUGAUGGUAAAAGUAGAAUUUGUAAGUAUACCUUUGGAUUGAAUUUACAGGUUGAUGCUACAAAAUCCACAAUAAGUCCCCUGUUAAUAGUGAUGUUUUCACAGUAUGGACCAUUAAAAACACACUGUUAGAUAGAAUCAAUAGAUACAUAUUUAUGCAUGUAUUUAUGUGCCUGUUUUGAAAAGAAAAAAAAAACGGACGUAUUAUGUGAUGGUGUGUGGGUCUGUCUGUCUGUCCAUCUGCUUUCUGUCUGUCAUAUUUUGUGUCUGGAGCUUAAAUCAGUAACAGUUCGAGGUAUUGACUUUAAACUUGGCAUAUUGGUAGACGGCGAUGAGAAGAUGUGCAGAGCACAUGAACCUGGUCAAUAGGUCAAAGUCAAGGCCACAAAUACAGCUCAAAAGCAAGGCUGCAAAUGGAGGUCAGAUGUCAAAUUUAACCCUUGUAUUUCGUGUCUGGAGCAUAACUUAAGUACUAUUCAAAGUAUUGACUAAGUUAGCUUACUGGUAGGUGGUGGUAAGAUGGUGUGCAGAGCACAUGAAUAGUAGGUCUAAGGUCAGGGUCACAGAUGAAGGUCAAAGGUCAAAUUUGACCUUCAUAUUCCUUGUGUAGAGCGUAAUUUAAUAACCAUUAGGUAUUGACCUCGAUCGUGGCAUAUAGGCAGGUGGCAAUGAGAUGAUGUGCAGAGUGCAUGGACAGAGUCACAGCAAGGUCAAAUUUGUCUGUUAUAUUUUGUGUCCAGAGCAUAACUUGAUAAGCAUUCAAGGCAUUUAUUUCAAACUUGGCAUAAAAGGUAGGUAGCAAUGAGACGAUGUGCAUAGCACCUGAGCUUGAUCUGUAGGUCUAAGGUCAAGGUCACAGAUUGAGUUCAAAUCUGUCCUUUGUAUUUUGUGUACAGAGCUCAACUUUAAAACUAUUCAAGAUACUGACUUUUUACCUGGAAUACAGUUUGGUGGUGAUGUGUGAUUUUGAGUAGUGCAGCAACAAUUGUUUUUUGAAAAGCACUUAUAUAUUGUAUUUAUAUUAUGUUUGAGCACAUGAACUAGUUUGGUAGGUCAUAGGUCAUACAGCAAAGUCAUAUCAGUUCAUCAUAUUUUUUGUCCAGAGCAUAAUUUCAUAACCAGUGAAGGUAUUAACGUUGAACUUGGCAUGUAGGUAGAUGGCAGUCAGACAAUGUGCAGAGCGCAUGAACUCGGUCUGUAAGUCAGUGGUCAAGGUCACAAAUUGAAUUAAAAUCUGUCUGUUUUAUUUUAUGUCUGGAGCACAACUUUAAAACUAUUCAAGAUUAUGACUUUAAACUUGCAUUAAAGAUGGAUGAUGAUAAAGUGGUUUGAGGAUUGCAACAAUCCAGAUUACCCACCCAUCCCACUCAUUAAACCUCCCACCACCCUCCUCUCUUCCCCCCACCCUCUCAUUUACUUUCAGUUUCUUAUGCCGUAAUACUCCAUCACCGUUGCCACGCAACCCCCACCCUCCAAAUGCCACAUUACAUCCCUGCUCCCAAAUACCCAGGAAAAAAAUCUUUAAACCUGACUUCCUCCUUUGGGGUAUAUUUAAAGCAAUGACAUUGAUUCACCUUCAUCCAUCCUAAUUUGUUAAUCAUCAUGUUUAAAAAUAGAUAUCUGAGGUUAACUCUCUCAGUACAGUUAAAAAUUAAUAUUUCUUAUAUACACACCUGUGACAGAUAUUUCUGGUAUUUCAUUGUUGAUUUUGUCAUGAAAAAUUAUUUAUAAAGGUUUAUUAAGAUUAAUGUCUUAGAAAAAGUUAUUUCUGUAUUCAUAAAAUAUUUAUUUUAAGGAUUUCUGUAUUUGUGGUUAUUCAGUAGUUCUCAUGUUAAAGUUAUUAUUUUCCACCAUAAGGAUUGUGCUUGCAUUUAUUUUAAGUAGCUCACUAGAGCUAUUGUGAUCAUUCACCUUCCUUGGUAUGACAUAUGUCAACCAUUUUCUUCAAAUCAUCUCCUUUGAAGCCAUUAAGUGAAAGUUAUGAAACUGUCCGUAAAUGUUCAUUGGAUGGUCCUCUUCCAAAAUUCAACAGCUCUGUUUAGCUGCACAAAGUUUAAAAUAGAAACAUUUUUGAACAGUACUUUUAGCUCGGCUAUAUGAAGUAUCUGGAGAGCUAUCCUACUCACCCCGGCGUCGGGCCCCAUGUGGUUCUGGGACGAUCUGUGUAUGAAAAGAAUUGGAACCACUGCCUUACCCUUGCAUGAUUGUAAGAGGCGACUAAUAGGGUCUUAACACUUGGUUUUGCUGUAACUCUGUGAUUCCAGCAGGUAUACAAAUUUUGAUUCCAUACCUCAUGUUUUUAUUUCGAUGUAAAUGAGAUGUGAAACCAAAAUUUGUAGUCCUGUUUGGCGCGAUAUAACCUAUACUGUGUUGGUGUGCCGUAAAACCAAAAUAAAUAAAUAAAUAAAUACACCCCGGCGUCGGCGUCUUUCCGCAACCCCACCUUGGUUAAAGUUGUUUUUACACUUUCUCUUUUUUUCUCCUUAUCUUUGUAAUUACAUGAUGGAUUUGCUUUAAACUUAAAAUAGUUAUUCCUCAUCAUCACCCACAUCAUAUGGCACAAGAAAUACAGACUGACAUGAUCGCCAACAUGUCCAUGUGGUGAAGAAGAUCAGAUUGGUGAGCAUAUACUUCAGAGAUGUAAAAGGCAUGAACAGGAGCGAGCUGCGACUUGGCCGAUAGAUACCUCAAUCCACCAGAAAUUGUAUGGAGGCAUUGAGGAUCUGCGGCAAACCACAAGUUUCAUCGAGGCUACUGGUCUGACAGUGUAGUUGCGAACGAUAAGAAGAAGAAGAAUAUGGCACAAGGGCCAUAACUCUCACACCAAUAUUUCAUGAAUUAUCCCCCUUUUUACUUAGAAUUUCAGGUUAAAGUUUUGAUGUACCUUCACUCUAUCUCAGUUAUUCCUAAAUGGAUUUGAUUCAAACUGAAAGUAGUUGUUCUACAUCAUCUCCCACAUCAUAUGACACAAGGCCCAUAACUCUGGUACCAAUAUUUAAUGAAUUAUCUCCCCUUUUACUUAAAAUUUCAGGUUAAAGUUUUGAUGCGCUUUCACUAUAUCUCAGUUAUUACUAACUGGAUUUGAUUCAAACUUAAAAUGGUUGUUCAACAUCAUCACUCACAUUAUAUGACACAAGGGCCAUAACUCUUGCACCAAUAUUUCAUGAAUUAUGCCCCCUUUUUACUUAGAAUUUCAGGUUAAAGUUCUGAUACACUUGCACUCUAUCUCAGUUAUUACUAAAUGGAUUUUAUUCAAACUUAAAAUAGUUGUUCCACCUUAUCACCCACAUCAUAUGACACAAGGUGCAUAACUCUGGCACCAAUUUUUCAUGAAUAUGCCCCCUUUUACUUAGAAUUUAAGGUUAAUUUUGAUGCAUUUUCAGCAUAUCUCAGUCAUUAUGAAAUGGAUUUGAUUCAAACUUGAAGUAGUUGUUCCACAUCAUCACCUUCAUCAUACGACACAAGGUGCAUAACUCUUGCACCAGUAUUCUAUGAAUUAUGCCCCCUUUUUGCUUAGAAUUAUACUUAUGUAGUGUUUUGAUACACUUUAUCUUUACCUCUCUUAUUACUUAAUAUUUUGGCACAGACUCAAGCUAUUGUGCAAUAUCUUCAUCCACCAUUGGAGUCAUUAAACACUCCAGUGACAGCUCCAGUUUCCUCAGAUGAGCCCAGUUUCACUAUCCAGCAUCGAAAUAGUCAGGCGCGCUGUCUCCUGUGACAGCUCUUGUUUUCUAAACCACUUGUUUGACUUGGACAUAAUUUCACAGAAACAUUGCUUGGAUAGUAUUCAGAUUAAUCUGAUGCGUGAGAAAACAUGACUGCCAGUGAUUGUGGUCUCUAUUCCCAAUAUGUUUAGAGGAAAUGUAAACAAAUUUCUCAUGAACUGCUGACCAGAGGAUCCUUUGGUUACACCCUAUAAUGAUUGUUCAGAUUUGUAAAAAUUAUGGCCUUAUAUGAACUUUAAAAGUAUUUUUGUCAAAAACUGCUUUCCAUGACCAUUUUACCAAGAUUUUUUAUACCCCCACAAAACGAAGUUUGUGGGGGGAUAUAUAGGAGUGAGCUUGGCGGUCGGUCGGUCCGUUGGCUUUUGUAGUUUCCGGAUGAUAACUCCUGAAAGGCUUGACUAUUUAAAUAAUUUUUGGUACACAGGCGUAACAUUAGAAAAUACAGGUCAAGUUCGAAUUUGGGGUCAAUAGGUCAAAGGUCAAGGUCACAGUGACCCUGUACAGUUAAACGGUUUCCGGAUGACAACUUGAGAACGCUUGGGCCUAUGAUCAUAUAUUUGGUACACAGAUGUAACAUCAUGAAAUACAGGUCAAGUUUGACUUUGGGGUCUGUAGGUCAAAGGUCAAGGUCACAGUGACUCGGAACAAUUAAAUGGUUUCCGGAUGGUAAGUUGAGAACACUUGGGCCUAGGAUCAUAAUUUUGGUACACAGAUGUAACAUCAUGAAAUACAGGUCAAGUUCGACUUUGAGGUUUGUAGGUCAAAGGUCAAGGUCACAGUGACUCGGAACAGUUAAACGGUUUCAAGAUGAUAACUUGAGAACGCUUGGGUCUAGGAUCUAAAAUUUUUGUACACAGAUGUAACAUGAUUAAAUACAGGUCAUGUUCAACUUUGAGGUUAGUAGGUCAAAGGUCAAGGUCACAAUAACAUGAAACAGUUAAACAGUUUCCAGAUGAUAACUUGAGAACGUUUGGGCCUAGGAACAUGAAAAUUGAUAGCGAGGUUGGUUAUGACCAGCAGAUGACCCCUAAUGAUUUUGAGGUCAGCAGGUCACUGGUCAAGGUCACAGUGACCCGGAACACAUAAACGGUUUUUGGACAACAACUUCACAACGCUUGGGACUAGGAUAACGAAAUUUAAUAGGGAGGUUGGUCAUGACCAGCAGAUGACCAAUAAUUAUUUUUGGUUCCGAAGGUCAAAGGUCAUUUAAACCUUUUUCGGACAAUAACUUGAGAACACUUGGGCCGAGGAUCAUGAAACUUUAUAGGGAGGUUGAUCAUGACCAGCAGAUGACCUCUAUUGAUUUUACGGUCAGUAGGUCCAAGGUCAAGCAAGUUCAGCUUUGACAUUGGCCUAGUUCUGUGACAAGGCCAUAUCGUUGGGGUAUAAUUUGUCACUCCUGUGACAACUCUAGUUUUAGUCUAUUCUGAUUUGUUUAAGAGAAAGCCACCAGAGGUUGUGGUCACUUUUCUAAAUCUUUAUACACUGUAUGUGCAGGCCAGCUUAAGUAAGUUGUCCGGAAUGCUUACUGAAUGACUCGAUCACAAUUGCUACCUGUUAGAGCUGAGAAGCUCAGGUGAGCAGUCAAGGUCAUUAUGGCCAUCUUGUUUGAAUAAAUUCUUUUCUUUCAGCAGUAUAUGGUUGUGACAAUUAUUAUCUGGGCAGUUUUAGUGGACAAGUAUUCUCAACUCAUAUUAAGUCCAUUUAAACUGAUCCAGAUGCCACAUUAAUCUUUUAUGUUAUAUGUUGAUAAUUAAGUGAUUUGAUAAUGGCCCUGUUAUUUGUCAGAGGGUAGUCGUAUUGGCCUGAGGCCGAAGGCCAAGGGCUAAUACGACUGUCCCAAAGACAAAUAACAGGGCCAAUAUAAAAUCACUUAUUUAUUGACAAUUUUAUGAAAUAACUACAUGUACUUAAAGGAUUCAAAAUUUAAACACUCAGUUUAUUAAUUGUAACAAAGAACAGCUCUAAAAAUACACAACAUAUUUUAGCCAUUUUUUAGAAAUGUUAAGUUAAGUAAUCAAAAUAUAUAUCACAGUGCAUUUUGAAAAUAAACCGAUGUUUCUGUUU